UACGUAGGGUGCGAGCGUUAAUCGGAAUUACUGGGCGUAAAGCGUGCGUAGGCGGUUCGCUGUGUCCGAUGUGAAAGCCCCGGGCUUAACCUGGGAAUGGCAUUGGAAACUGGCGGGCUUGAGUGCGGCAGAGGGGGGUGGAAUUCCGCGUGUAGCAGUGAAAUGCGCAGAUAUCAGGAGGAACACCGAUGGCGAAGGCAGGUCUCUGGGCCAUAACUGACGCUGAGAAGCGAAAGCAUGGGGAGCAAACAGG
RNAcentral lists this ribosomal RNA (253 nucleotides) under uncultured bacterium. RNAcentral's name for it is "partial 16S ribosomal RNA". It matches the Rfam family "Bacterial small subunit ribosomal RNA", at positions 524 to 776 of the family's 1533-position model. The record is from RNAcentral.